RNAcentral lists this unclassified non-coding RNA (217 nucleotides) under uncultured Hannaella. Its description in RNAcentral is "sequence contains ITS2". The stretch from base 1 to 52 matches the Rfam family "5.8S ribosomal RNA", at positions 103 to 154 of the family's 154-position model. The record is from RNAcentral. Lineage: Eukaryota; Fungi; Basidiomycota; Tremellomycetes; Tremellales; Bulleribasidiaceae.
AACGCACAUUGCGCCCUUUGGUAUUCCGAAGGGCAUGCCUGUUUGAGUGUCAUAUAGACUCAUCUAAUCGGGUUUCCGAUCUAGGUGCUUUGGACGUCUGCCGACUUUGGCUCGUCUUAAAUGUCUAAGUGGAAUGCGUAAUAAGUUAUCGCUCCCUCCACUCUAAUCACACUUUAGCUCUGACCUCAAAUCAGGUAGGACUACCCGCUGAACUUAA